CAGCCGCCGCGGGAAUACGUAGGUCCCGAGCGUUGUCCGGAUUUAUUGGGCGUAAAGCGAGCGCAGGCGGUUAGAUAAGUCUGAAGUUAAAGGCUGUGGCUUAACCAUAGUACGCUUUGGAAACUGUUUAAUUUGAGUGCAAGAGGGGAGAGUGGAAUUCCAUGUGUAGCGGUGAAAUGCGUAGAUAUAUGGAGGAACACCGGUGGCGAAAGCGGCUCUCUGGCUUGUAACUGACGCUGAGGCUCGAAAGCGUGGGGAGCAAACAGGAUUAGAUACCCGUGUAGUCCCUGUCUCUUAUACA
Molecule: ribosomal RNA, 301 nt
Filed under: uncultured bacterium
Lineage: Bacteria
Description: partial 16S ribosomal RNA
Rfam family: Bacterial small subunit ribosomal RNA
Source: RNAcentral